UGAAUGGGGACCCCAGGACAAAUAUGCUGGCAGUGGAUAUAAGAUGGACAAACCAUGUGGGUGCCCUCAAGGUGCGUGCAACCAUGGAAUGGAAGACUGGAGGAACCCAUGGUGGCCAACCAUGGGCCCGGUCCCUCUGGUAUGGGCCAUGAGCCAGCUGAGCCUGAGUGCAAAAAUGGACAGAAGGCCAACUGGAGUCAUGAUGACAUCAACCCCUAUAACCUGGGGGACACUCAAGAAAACCACGCAGGAAGCUGAGAAACUACUGGAGCGUCAAGGCCAGAAAAAACCCCUGAUUCCACGUUCUUGGCCAUGUUAGCUAUAAUGCCCUGUGUGGUAGGUUUUCCCUUGCAGAGUCAAAAACAUAUUGGGCAUAGGUUCCCAAUCCUCCAGCAGUACAACCUGUACUUUGGAGUGACACUCUUCCUGAGAUCUAUCGUGAUCAGGGAGCAUGGGCUCCAGGACCCCUAUGUCCGGCUCCCCCGGACAUAGAACAGUUAGACUCUCAGAACAAUGUCAUCAAUUAUACUACCCCACUGGAAGGACUCCCCUUGUGUAUCACUACAAAGAUGUCACUCAACCAUAGCUGUCUUACAACUGAAGCUCAAGCAUGGUUGAGUCACCACGGAAAAGUUAUGUACUUAAUAGGUCUUGGUUCUAUUUAUGUAAUUGGUGUGCUAACCAACCAUGCCCGGCCCAAUUGCCCCAACUGCGCUGACUAUAUGGAAUGGAUUCCCUUCAAUAGUUCCAACCUCUCUCCAUUGACCCAGUGUCUUGGCCCACUGGGUAGAAAAGAAUCUGUGUUAACUGGAGACAUUGUGGAUUGGGGAACUAAAGGUCAACUAGAUGGAAAAGAUGAAAAUCAGAAAUCAUGACACAAACUUCACUGCCAUUGGUGGCAAGCUUUGAAUACUCCUUCUUUAUACCACACCGGGAUCCAAUCCCAGUCUUCCACCUGGAUUGCUUGGCAUGGAGCAGGCUUUAGCACACCUCUUCCUCAGUGGCAUUAUCUAGGGAGGAAAGGUCCAAUUCAAGAAACAAUAUGGAAAGCAGCACUGCUGUUCACAAACGGUAGUAUCUGGGUAGGAACACUCUCUAAUACCAGUACUGCUACUCAACACAGUCUUAAUGUUACAUUUGUAAGAAUAUCACCACUCAAUUUAUGGUUUGUGGUUUUAAUCCUUACGUCUUUCUGGCAGCUAGGGCGGACCAGCUCCAGGUAAAUAAUACUCAAUUGACCUUAAAUCUUGCCGGUUAUAUCACUGCAUUAAUCAUAGCACAUUGCAAACAUGUAAUAUCUCUACUUUGAUAUUUGGGUCACAUUCCUGGGCUAUGGAUUCUCAUUAAUCUGUCUGAGCCUUGUGAUGCCACCCCUGUUUGGCACUUUGUGAAACUUCUUCUAACUAAACUUACUCAUCGUGCCUGUAGAGCCUCAGGCAUGAUAAUUUUUGCUAUUGUUUCUUUGGUCACACUAAUCACUUCUGCUGUAAUGUCCUCUGUAGCUUUGCAUAGUUCUGUUCAAAUGGCUCAGUAUGUAGAGGACUGGAAGCAUGCAGCCAACUAAGCAUGGCUACUUCAGAGUAAAAUUAACACUGAGUUACAAACUGAAGUGGUAAUGUUAAAAUCCAUGGUUCAGUGGUUAGGGGAACAAGUACAAAGCUUACAGUUGCAACAGCAAUUGCACUGUCAUUUUAAUCACACUCAUAUUUGUGUAACCAACUUAGAAUAUAACCAAAGAGUAUCCAUGGGACCUUAUAAAAGCCCAUUUGCAGGGAGC
This 1777-nucleotide long non-coding RNA is filed under the name Pan troglodytes (chimpanzee). RNAcentral describes it as "long non-coding RNA NONPTRT008052". The record is from RNAcentral. Lineage: Eukaryota; Metazoa; Chordata; Mammalia; Primates; Hominidae.